CACUUUGAUGUUAUAUAUUUUGUUCAGGUGUUUGCAGCUGCAGCGCAAAGUGAGUGCCUUUGUGCCUGUGUGUGUGUGUGUGUGUGUGUGUAUGGAAGUGUGUGUGGGAGUUUGUGCCAGCCGACCACUGUACAGUCAUGUAUCCUGCCGCAGCGGCGCCAGGUAGGGAGCAAGCACAGUCUGUGCUGGAGCAGAAAGAGAGACAGCAGGCCCGAGUCCGAUAGCGUAAGCUCGCUUGAACUAAGCCUCAGCCAUCUAAAAUGUUAUGAAGACGAGACACCAGGGCUCAUGGCACAGGGAAGGACUCUGUUCCUUGACAGCAUGCCGUUGUUGUGAUCAUCAAGGCGACCAGGCACAAUAUUGGAUCUAAGAGUGUUUCAUCAAAUUUCUCCACCAUAAUAGUGUUGAUUUACAUGCGACUGUGAAUCCUCUACAUGAAUAACAAAAGGAAGCUGAAAAGGAGGGAAGCGGGAACGCGUGCUUAUGGACUCGGUUUCAGUCAUGCUAGUAAGCUGAUUUAUCUUACCAUAAGAGGCAGAUCUUAAGAAAAUGCAAAGAGAGAAAGCUAAUGGAUCAUUAUUAUGUGUUCCUCACUCCCUAUCUUUCAAAUGACUGCAGGGCUUUGCAGUUCUGGCUUUGAUUCGCAGCCCAUUCUCCUAUAUGACUUGAGUGGACUAGCUGAGCUAAGACAUGAUUUCCAGAAGAUUGCAGUGUAAGUGCCUCUGGCAAGACC
Molecule: long non-coding RNA, 733 nt
Filed under: Oreochromis niloticus (Nile tilapia)
Lineage: Eukaryota; Metazoa; Chordata; Actinopteri; Cichliformes; Cichlidae
Description: lncRNA (ENSONIG00000037677.1)
Source: RNAcentral